UACGGAGGAUGCAAGCGUUAUCCGGAAUUAUUGGGCGUAAAGCGUCCGUAGGUGGUUAAUCAAGUCUAUUGUCGAAAGCCUGGGGCUUAACCCUGGAGAGGCGGUGGAAACUGGUUGACUUGAGUGGCGGUAGGGGCAGAGGGAAUUCCCAGUGUAGCGGUGAAAUGCGUAGAUAUUGGGAAGAACACCGGUGGCGAAAGCGCUGCUGCUGGGCCUGCACUGACGACUGAAGG
This 233-nucleotide ribosomal RNA is filed under the name uncultured bacterium. RNAcentral's name for it is "partial 16S ribosomal RNA". It matches the Rfam family "Bacterial small subunit ribosomal RNA", at positions 524 to 752 of the family's 1533-position model. The record is from RNAcentral.